RNAcentral lists this transfer RNA (105 nucleotides) under Candidatus Falkowiibacteriota bacterium. Its description in RNAcentral is "tRNA-OTHER". It matches the Rfam family "tRNA". Rfam says of the family: Transfer RNA (tRNA) molecules are approximately 80 nucleotides in length. Lineage: Bacteria; Candidatus Falkowiibacteriota. The record is from RNAcentral.
GUCCCCAUCGUCUAGUCCGGUUAGGACGCCGGCCUCUUUGACCCUACGGGUCAUCACCCACGGGGUGACAAGCCGGAAACACGGGUUCAAAUCCCGUUGGGGACG